UACGUAGGUGGCGAGCGUUGUCCGGAAUAACUGGGCGUAAAGGGUGCGUAGGUGGUCAAUUAAGUUAAAUGUGAAAGCCCGAGGCUCAACUUCGGAAUUGCAUUUAAUACUGGUUGACUAGAGUACUGGAGGGGUAAACGGAAUUUCUAGUGUAGCGGUGGAAUGCGUAGAUAUUAGGAAGAACACCGGAGGCGAAGGCGGUUUACUGGACAGCAACUGACACUGAGGCACGAAAGCGUGGGGAGCAAAC
RNAcentral lists this ribosomal RNA (250 nucleotides) under uncultured prokaryote. Its description in RNAcentral is "partial 16S ribosomal RNA". It matches the Rfam family "Bacterial small subunit ribosomal RNA", at positions 524 to 773 of the family's 1533-position model. The record is from RNAcentral.